This 223-nucleotide ribosomal RNA is filed under the name uncultured bacterium. RNAcentral describes it as "partial 16S ribosomal RNA". It matches the Rfam family "Bacterial small subunit ribosomal RNA", at positions 118 to 344 of the family's 1533-position model. The record is from RNAcentral.
UCGGAACGCGUCCUGGAGUGGGGGAUAGCCCGGCGAAAGCCGGAUUAAUACCGCAUACGCUCUGAGGAGGAAAGGGGGGGAUCGAAAGACCUCUCGCUCAAGGGGCGGCCGAUGGCAGAUUACCUAGUUGGUGGGGUAAAGGCCUACCAAGGCGACGAUCUGUAGCUGGUCUGAGAGGACGACCAGCCACACCGGGACUGAGACACGGCCCAGACUCCUACGG